AGAAAAAGACAGACUGAACAAAAAGCUUUGGACUGCUUGUGGGACAGCUGAGCAUGUUCUUUCAGUCUUCUCCCCAGAGAAUGCAAGCAACCAUUGAAGCCAUUUCCAGGGGUGACAAAGUGACUGAGGAGCCUAAACCUGUACUUUAGAAGUGGCUUAGGGCCUCAGUGUUGACCCAGACGCAGAAGCGGCUCGGUGAAGUCUGGCUGAUCACCACUCAGCUUCCUCAGUGUCGACGGGGGAGACUCUGCAAAGCCAAUGUUGCCAGGCUGCUCAAACCUUUUGUCUCCAGCAGUCCCACUUCUGCUGUGGGGAGGGCGGUAAGCACCACCACCACUAACCCUUGCUCCAGACAUUCAGGGGGAUUCCUGUGACUUUUGGUUUCGUCUGAGGUCAUCGGCAUGAGGUGGUGGGAAGUCCAUGGUGAGUGUCUUGAGGUGAAAUGGGGUGAAAGUAGAGCCUG
This 463-nucleotide long non-coding RNA is filed under the name Anas platyrhynchos platyrhynchos (common mallard). RNAcentral's name for it is "lncRNA (ENSAPLG00000019718.1)". Lineage: Eukaryota; Metazoa; Chordata; Aves; Anseriformes; Anatidae. The record is from RNAcentral.